RNAcentral lists this ribosomal RNA (402 nucleotides) under uncultured bacterium. RNAcentral's name for it is "bacterial SSU rRNA". It matches the Rfam family "Bacterial small subunit ribosomal RNA", at positions 355 to 774 of the family's 1533-position model. The record is from RNAcentral.
UGGGGAAUAUUGCACAAUGGGGGAAACCCUGAUGCAGCGACGCCGCGUGAGCGAAGAAGUAUCUCGGUAUGUAAAGCUCUAUCAGCAGGGAAGAAAAUGACGGUACCUGACUAAGAAGCACCGGCUAAAUACGUGCCAGCAGCCGCGGUAAUACGUAUGGUGCAAGCGUUAUCCGGAUUUACUGGGUGUAAAGGGAGCGUAGACGGAGAAGCAAGUCUGGAGUGAAAGCCCGGGGCUCAACCCCGGGACUGCUUUGGAAACUGUUACUCUUGAGUGCCGGAGAGGUAAGCGGAAUUCCUAGUGUAGCGGUGAAAUGCGUAGAUAUUAGGAGGAACACCAGUGGCGAAGGCGGCUUACUGGACGGUAACUGACGUUGAGGCUCGAAAGCGUGGGGAGCAAACA